AUGGGACCACCAGGGGCGGGGCUCAGAGGGGAGGCCUCUGGUCCUCUCUGCAGGCUUCAUUUUCUUAAACGCUUUGAAAACAAAGACAGCCAAGCAUCAGUGCCUGCCAAGUCAGGUGUGCCCUGGCACGCGUCUAGCAGGCCACACACACGCGCAUCUGUGGAUGUGUAUGCAACGCUCCACGCACGUGUGCUCACUCAGUCAUAUCAGCCCCUUUCCAACCCCAUGGACUGUAGCCCACCAGGCUCCUCUGUCCAUGGAAUUUUUCAGGCAAGAAUACUGCAGUGGGUAGCUAUGUCCUUCUCCAGGGAAUCUUCCCAACCCAUGGAUGGAAUUCCUAUCUCCUGCCUUGGCAGGUUGAUUCUUGACCAUUGCAACCACCUCAACUCACUAUAAACGGUAAUAAUCUCACAUACAAAACGUGUUAAUCUUGUUGCUGAACCAGGGCAGUGGCCCCCUUUCCUGAGCCCCGGACACUGGUGAGUUCCCCGAGGGCCAGGCCUGGCCCCCAGGGAAGCUCCACAUGCAGAGAAGGGACUUCCGAUCACAGGAGGGUGUGAUGACACCUUGGACCCUGUUACUUUACACCCGACGCGCGGUUGAGACACAGCGUCCCCAACCACAGGCGGCACUACCUUCGUAAGUCGUCCUUGCUGGUGUCGAUGUGAUACUUGAGCAGCUGGACCUCGGGGCCCGAGGAAGACAAGAUAAACGCGUCCAUGUAAUAAAACUGUGCAGACUGGACAGGCUUAGGGAACGUGUCUUUGCCCUGCAGUGAGAAUCAGUCAUCAUCACGAAUAAAUAAGUGUCAGUAAAAACUCUACUGCUAUAAAUAUGAGACCCUCUCAUCCUAACACAAACAUCCACUUAUUCUAAAUGUGCAGAAUGCCUCCUGGAAGAACCAACGUGCAACCUUCGGUGCUUCUUCCUGACUCUGUAAACGAUGCUGCAUAAUUAAGAUUCUACUGUAGUGACUGUUUGGAAUUCCGGCCAUUUAAAAACUCUAAAAGGAAAGAACAUUGAAACCCGACAGGACAUGCACUGAAGCCAGAGUUCUCCACCUGUUUUAAACCUGGUUCUGAGGCGUCUGCUCCUCCGAUGACACGGCCCAGCCCGUGCAGGGUGCAGAAGUCAACAGGACUCUGGGCCCCAAAGCCAACCCCCUCUCCCCUCGGCCCUGCCUGCCAUCCUGGGUGUGACCAGCCUUCCUCGAGCAGCGCCCAGGACUCAAGUCUCCUUUCACGAGACUCACAGGAUGGGUGCGAGCAGCGUCCUCGAACCCGCUUCCUGCCAGCGAGGAGCCUGGUGACUUAGAGCCGCGUCACCUGUCCCCUACCUGUCUUCCUGACUCCCUUCCCUUGUCUCCAAACAGUCUCCUAUGAAAUCACUAAAGUAAGGCAUUUUUCUCCCCAAAACACAUCUCCCCCACAUAGUGUCCUGUGAGCGUUAUUAUCGCCUCUACUAUAGAAUCACACUUAUUUUUGCAUUUAAAUCAUUCCCAUAUUUUACUACCGUUCCGCCAUUUUCGGACCACGCAAACGUCAGGCGUAUGCAACCGCAUGUGCACACGUGUGCGCGCGUGUGCUGCGUGUGCUUGCGUGUCACGUGUCCAUGUGAACACACCGUGCUGCCCGCCUGCCCCUGCCCCCCGGGCGGGGCCGGAGACUGCGCAGGAGAAGCUGGGCAGGGCCCCCGACCGCCCGCCAUCUGCGCCAGGGCCCCGUUACCAGACGCAGUGCCAGCUCCGGGCCGCGCGCCGACCACACCCGCAGCGUCCCGUCCUGGGAGGCGGACAGCACCCAGCGGCCACCGUGGCUCC
RNAcentral lists this long non-coding RNA (1819 nucleotides) under Ovis aries (sheep). RNAcentral's name for it is "lncRNA (ENSOARG00000027054.1)". The record is from RNAcentral. Lineage: Eukaryota; Metazoa; Chordata; Mammalia; Artiodactyla; Bovidae.